Molecule: transfer RNA, 71 nt
Organism: Lachancea fermentati
Lineage: Eukaryota; Fungi; Ascomycota; Saccharomycetes; Saccharomycetales; Saccharomycetaceae
Rfam family: tRNA
About the family: Transfer RNA (tRNA) molecules are approximately 80 nucleotides in length. Their secondary structure includes four short double-helical elements and three loops (D, anti-codon, and T loops).
Source: Rfam
GCGCGAAUGGUUUAGUGGUAAAAUCCAAGUUUCCCAUACUUGGGCCCCGGGUUCGAUUCCCGGUUCGCGCA